UACGGAGGAUGCGAGCGUUAUCCGGAUUUAUUGGGUUUAAAGGGUGCGUAGGCGGAACAAUAAGUCAGUGGUGAAAGACUGCAGCUUAACUGCAGACUUGCCGUUGAUACUGUUGAUCUUGAGUAUGGUCAAGGCAGGCGGAAUGUGUAAUGUAGCGGUGAAAUGCUUAGAUAUUACACAGAACACCGAUUGCGAAGGCAGCUUGCUGGGCCAUUACUGACGCUGAUGCACGAAAGCGUGGGGAUCGAACAGG
This 253-nucleotide ribosomal RNA is filed under the name uncultured prokaryote. RNAcentral's name for it is "partial 16S ribosomal RNA". It matches the Rfam family "Bacterial small subunit ribosomal RNA", at positions 524 to 776 of the family's 1533-position model. The record is from RNAcentral.